This 492-nucleotide ribosomal RNA is filed under the name uncultured bacterium. RNAcentral describes it as "partial 16S ribosomal RNA". It matches the Rfam family "Bacterial small subunit ribosomal RNA", at positions 29 to 507 of the family's 1533-position model. The record is from RNAcentral.
AGUGAACGCUGGCGGUAGGCCUAACACAUGCAAGUCGAACGGCAGCACAGUAAGAGCUUGCUCUUACGGGUGGCGAGUGGCGGACGGGUGAGGAAUACAUCGGAAUCUACUUUUUCGUGGGGGAUAACGUAGGGAAACUUACGCUAAUACCGCAUACGACCUACGGGUGAAAGCAGGGGAUCUUCGGACCUUGCGCGAUUGAAUGAGCCGAUGUCGGAUUAGCUAGUUGGCGGGGUAAAGGCCCACCAAGGCGACGAUCCGUGGCUGGUCUGAGAGGAUGAUCAGCCACACUGGAAGUGAGACACGGUCCAGACUCCUACGGGAGGCAGCAGUGGGGAAUAUUGGACAAUGGGCGCAAGCCUGAUCCAGCCAUACCGCGUGGGUGAAGAAGGCCUUCGGGUUGUAAAGCCCUUUUGUUGGGAAAGAAAAGCAGCAGGUUAAUACCCCGCUGUUCUGACGGUACCCAAAGAAUAAGCACCGGCUAACUUCGUG